Non-coding RNA from Cinara cedri, 203 nucleotides. The record is from the annotation of a GenBank genome assembly. NCBI's taxonomy places the organism in Eukaryota, Metazoa, Arthropoda, Insecta, Hemiptera, Aphididae.
CUGUCAAUAUCGUUUUUUAAUAGCAACGAGUUCAACAUACAAAUUCUGGGAAGGUAAAAAUAGUUGACACAGCACAUUUUUUUAAAACUCAUUUCCCAAUUGAAAUUGCUUCAUUAUUAUCAUUUUUAGCAAAAUGUAGACUGCAUAAAAAUGAAUUACUAGAAGGUUGGAAAUUAUAUAGUCAGUCAAACAGCAUGUAUCCA